This 820-nucleotide ribosomal RNA is filed under the name Salmonella enterica subsp. enterica serovar Weltevreden. Its description in RNAcentral is "partial 23S ribosomal RNA". It matches the Rfam family "Bacterial large subunit ribosomal RNA", at positions 711 to 1532 of the family's 2925-position model. The record is from RNAcentral. Lineage: Bacteria; Pseudomonadati; Pseudomonadota; Gammaproteobacteria; Enterobacterales; Enterobacteriaceae.
AGACCCGAAACCCGGUGAUCUAGCCAUGGGCAGGUUGAAGGUUGGGUAACACUAACUGGAGGACCGAACCGACUAAUGUUGAAAAAUUAGCGGAUGACCUGUGGCUGGGGGUGAAAGGCCAAUCAAACCGGGAGAUAGCUGGUUCUCCCCGAAAGCUAUUUAGGUAGCGCCUCGUGAAUUCAUCUCCGGGGGUAGAGCACUGUUUCGGCUAGGGGGCCAUCCCGGCUUACCAACCCGAUGCAAACUGCGAAUACCGGAGAAUGUUAUCACGGGAGACACACGGCGGGUGCUAACGUCCGUCGUGAAGAGGGAAACAACCCAGACCGCCAGCUAAGGUCCCAAAGUCAUGGUUAAGUGGGAAACGAUGUGGGAAGGCCCAGACAGCCAGGAUGUUGGCUUAGAAGCAGCCAUCAUUUAAAGAAAGCGUAAUAGCUCACUGGUCGAGUCGGCCUGCGCGGAAGAUGUAACGGGGCUAAACCAUGCACCGAAGCUGCGGCAGCGACGCUUAUGCGUUGUUGGGUAGGGGAGCGUUCUGUAAGCCUGUGAAGGUGGCCUGUGAGGGUUGCUGGAGGUAUCAGAAGUGCGAAUGCUGACAUAAGUAACGAUAAAGCGGGUGAAAAGCCCGCUCGCCGGAAGACCAAGGGUUCCUGUCCAACGUUAAUCGGGGCAGGGUGAGUCGACCCCUAAGGCGAGGCCGAAAGGCGUAGUCGAUGGGAAACGGGUUAAUAUUCCCGUACUUGGUGUUACUGCGAAGGGGGGACGGAGAAGGCUAUGUUGGCCGGGCGACGGUUGUCCCGGUUUAAGCGUGUAGGUGUGUGUU